RNA transcript from Erigeron canadensis, 3909 nucleotides. It is a transcript of the gene named protein SMG7-like, with no coding region annotated. The record is from RefSeq and is a predicted model, not a curated record. The transcript has 8 exons. NCBI's taxonomy places the organism in Eukaryota, Viridiplantae, Streptophyta, Magnoliopsida, Asterales, Asteraceae.
CUUUGUUUCCCCUCAAAAUAAAAUAAAAUUGAAGAAAGAAAAAAAACAAUGUAUAAUCAAAUUCUCAUUGACCCAAACCCAAACCCUAAAUUUCAUCCCUUUUUUUCCGCGCUUCUGUCGGUCAAUUCCAUCCUUAUUUCCUGAUUCCAGAUCUUUAUCUAUUUCAAGAUUAUUGAGAAGCAUUUAUGAGAUGUUGUGAUUGGUGAUGGUUGUGAAGAUGGAUAGACCACUUGCUUCUUCUUCGUUUUCGUCGUCUUCGUAUGACCGUGCCCGACGUCUUUUCGAGAAAAAUAUUGAGUUGCAAAAUAGGCGUAAGAAGGCGAUUCAGGCAAGGCUGCCGUCAGAUCCAAAUACUUGGCAGCAAAUACGUGAUAAUUAUGAAGCAAUAAUACUUGAAGACAAUCAAUUUUCUGAGAAGCACAAUGUUGAAUUUAGCCUAUGGGAUUGGCACUAUAAGCGUAUUGUGGAAUUUAGGAAUCAUUAUAACACUUUAUCUGCUUCUGAUUCAACUACUUCUCAGCAUAGGGGAGGGCCUGCCCGAACCGAUAAGGCACAAAAAAUACGUCUUCAAUUUAAAACUUUUCUCUCAGAAGCUACUGGUUUUUACCAUGAGUUCCUCUUAAAAAUUAGAGCCAAAUAUGGUCUCCCGAUGGGGCAGUUCUAUCCUGAUUCUGAGAACCAUAAUCUGAAUGAGAAAGAUGAAAAGAAAUCAGCUGAGUUUAAAAUGGGCUUGCAAUCCUGCCACCAGUGUUUGAUAUACUUGGGUGAUCUUGCACGUUACAAAGGACUGUACGGUGAAGGUGAAUCAAAAGGUCGUGAUUAUGCAGCGGCUUCAAGUUACUACUUGCAAGCAGCUUCUCUUUGGCCAUCAAGUGGGAAUUCACACCAUCAGCUCGGUGUAUUGGCUAAUUAUUCAGGGGACGAAUUUUUGGGGUUAUAUCGGUACUUCCGAAGUCUGGCAGUUAAAUAUCCUUCUUCGACAUCAAAAGAAAAUUUGUCAUUAGUCUUUGAGAAGAAUCGGCAAAGUUACACUCAACUGCAUAUCGAUCCAAAAGCCUCAUUUGUGAAGGAAACAUCUAUUAGGACAAUAGGUAAAGGAGGGGGUAAAGCAGAGCCUGUAGUACGAUCGAAGGAGCCAAUUACUGAUGUUGUGAAACUUCGCCGGAUGUUUAAAGCAUUUCGUGUUUGUUUUGUCCGCCUAAAUGGUAUUCUUUUCACGCGGACAAGCUCGGAGACAUUUGAAGAAAUCCUUUCUCUAGUUACCAAUGCUUUGCAGGAGCUUCUUUCUUCUGGGCCAGAAGAGGAGCUGAAUUUUGGCACUGAUGCUGUAGAGAAUGGACUUUUUAUUGUAAUACUUGUUUCCAUACUUAUAUUUACAGUGAAUAAUGUGAAAGUUGGGACCGAAGGUCAGAGCUAUGCAAAUAUUGUACAAAACACAGUGCUGAUAAAAAAUGCACUCAUCGCAUUCUUUGAGAUAAUGGGCCAGUUACUAAAAAGAUGCCUACAGCUAUCUGACCCUGUCUCAAGUUUCCUGUUGCCCGGCAUUUGUGUUUGUGUAGAAUGGAUUGCCUGUCAUCCUGAUAUUGUUAUACACAAUGAAAUCGAUGAAAAACGUUCAAAAGCUCAGAUUAACUUUUGGAGCUACUACAUAUCUUUGUUGAACAAGCUAUUAUCUGCUGGUCUGGUUACCUGUGAUGACGAAGAUAUCAGCUGCUUCACUGAAAUGACAACGUAUGAUGAGGGUGAUAAUGAAUACCAGCCUGCAUUGUGGGAGGAUUUUGAGUUAAGAGGAUUCUUGCCCCUUCAGCCUGCACAAACGUUUUUGGAUUUCUCAAGGAAGCAUUCUGACAGCAAGAAAGAUAAAGUAGCGCGUGUGAAGAGGAUCCUUGCCGCGGGGAAACUAAUUGCAGAAAAGAUUACUAUUGACAACAAGAAGGUGAUGUUUGAUUCAAAAAUGAGGAAGUUUGUUAUAGGUAAUGAGACUCAUAAAGACACAGGAAGCCCCAACUCAAAUGGGGGAAUUAAAGGACAGUUUAGUGAUACAACUUCAACCAUUGUAGUCAAACAGUCAAAGGCGGAAUUACAUGCGGAAGUUGAAGACGAGGAUGAAGUAAUUGUCUUCAGACCAAGUUUGACUGAUAAUCGAAGUGAAGUGCUUGUUUCAAAAGGUCGUCAUCAAGAAGGGUUUGAGCAUGUGCAAAAUGAAGAGGAUAGUACUUAUCAGUUUGAAGCUCCUGUUUCAGUGCCACAUGCUGAUAUUCACCAAAUAAAUGCAGUAUACAUUAAUUCACAGUCCGUUUUGCCAGCUAACAAUUAUACUCAAACCAUUGGGAAGCAAGCUAGCAAUGAGUCUCAAAGUGUCGGGCAGCAAGUAAACACUAACCCUCAAAGUAUCCAGCAGCAAGUUAACAAUAAUUUUCAAAGCAUUGGGCAGCCAGUUAACAACUAUACUCAAAGCAUCGGGCAACCAGUUAACAAUGAUACUCGAGGUGUCGGGCAGCAAGUUAAUGUUAAUACCUCAAGCAUUGGGCAGCAUUUUAACGAUUAUACUCAAAUAAUUGGGCAGCCGGUUAACAAUUAUACUCAAAGCUUUGGGCAGCCAUACCAUAUCCAGUCUCCAAUGUGGUCUGGCAACAGACAAGUGGCAGUUUCAGUUGCUGAUGGUUUGCAAGGCUUGAACCUACUGGAAAAUGGGCAUUUAGGUCAACAUGGAAUGCACAGAGAUAUUCAGAUAUCAAAUACUACUGGUAUCGGGGAAAGUGGUAUGAUGUAUAGCGGAGCAUCUCAAAGUAAGGUAGGGUCCUCUGUGGUUGGUAGAGAAGCUAGCACUCAUAUAAACACAAUUGCACCAUCUGGACCCGACCCUUACAUUGUGGGUCGAAAUACAUUCUCAAACUUGUCAAAUAGCUCUUUGAAAGUUUCUACCAACAGACCUGUAAGACACAUGGGACCACCACCUGGUUUUAGCUCUGUACGUCCUAAGCAAAUCAAUGAGCAUGGUUCUGCUUUGGGCCAGAAUCCCCUAAUUGAUGAUUACAGCUGGUUAGAUGGAUAUCAGUUGCAAUCAUCUAUGAAGGGUAGUCUUCCAACAGCUAAUUUGCCAUCAAAUCUGACUUCCCAGUAUAUAAAUGAUCCUGUAGCUACUGCUAGUUUCCCAUUUCCUGGAAAACAUGCUUCAGUGGUUCAGUUUGAAGGGGAAAAGCAGAAAAGUAUGCAAAGGUCUGACAUUCAGCAUGAAUCACUUCAACAACAAUAUAUUUCUCGAGCAGACCAACAAGGGCAUUCCCUGUGGAAAGGCAAUCAGUUCGUGUGAUCUCUCUGAGCUUUGCAUGGUCAUUUGUGGUUAUUAUGAUGGCCUUUGAUCCUCUUAUCCUGAAGUACACACUCCAGCUUCCAUUCAAUUUUCUUAAUUUUGUGUUGGAGCAUGAUGGUGCUGUCAAUCCCGGCAUCUUGCAGGCAAAAAGAGGCUGCGACUACUUUUCCCUUUAGAGUCCAAAAGAACCACCUAAUGUUAUGCAUUUCUGGUUAUGCUUUGGGGAUGGAUGUCAACCGUAUGAACAUCCACUGGGUAUAAUAUCUGUAUGAAUGUCUGCUGAGUUUGUGGCUUAUCUUUGGGGAUAAGUGGUGGAUUAUGAAUGGAAGCGUGCUUAAUCUGGAUUGCAGUUCCGUCUUGAUAUUUUCUUUUGUUGAUACUAUCUUCGACCAUUCGAGGGGUUUGUAAUAAUGCCUAAUACUUUCCUUCCGAGUAUAUUUACGGUGGGUUGUUUAAGAGUUAAAACUACUACUAAACAAGUGGAUGUGUUUCUUGGAUAUUUUCUGAAGAUUUUUGAACACAUAAGGUCAUGUUGUGGUCUCAACAUGGUUUCUGAACAAAUAUAUUUCAUCUAUCAAUUUUCUGUUGCCAGGGUA